GGAUGUUAGGGCGAUCUGGCUGCGACAACUGUCACCCCAUUAAUCACCAGGGUUGAUUCGGCUGAUCUUGCUGAUAGGCUGGUGUCCCCUUCCUCCCUCACGCUCCAUGUGCGUCCUCCAGGAGCUGGGUGGAAGAGGACCGCCUUCCCAGAAUAGAGACCGACCGGUAUAGGAGGGUAUAAAGAGUAGCUGCGCUGCCCUGCUAGAACCUCCCAAACAAAGCUCUCAAGUACCUACAUAAAUAACUAUUAAUGAGAAAAUAAGGGAUAGUAAUAAUAGUUAACAUUUAUUGGGUGGCUAUGUAACUACUAGACU
This 315-nucleotide small nuclear RNA is filed under the name Erinaceus europaeus (western European hedgehog). RNAcentral describes it as "7SK RNA (ENSEEUG00000020620.1)". It matches the Rfam family "7SK RNA". From Rfam's summary of the family: 7SK was discovered as an abundant small nuclear RNA in the mid-70s but a possible function has only recently been suggested. Two independent studies have found that 7SK RNA binds the CDK9/cyclin T complex (known as elongation factor P-TEFb). Lineage: Eukaryota; Metazoa; Chordata; Mammalia; Eulipotyphla; Erinaceidae. The record is from RNAcentral.